GGGAAGCCCAAUCCGUUACUCCUCUACUCCUUCUCGAGUUUCGACUGAGCCUUCCCUUCCAGUUUUCCUUCGAAACAAAAUCGAAAGCUCUGUCUUCUCCGACCGCGAACACCAAACUGGUCCAGGAGAAUGAGCUCUAAGAGGGAACAUGAAGGUAAUGUUAAUGUGAACGUGGAAGGGUUUGAAUCGGACCCAAAAAGGCAAAAACUAAAUGAGCAUUCAUUGCCGCCACCUGCCUCUGAAGGCACUCUACUUCCGGGUUUUAAUUAUGGCGAUGUGGACGACGAGGACAACCACAGAAGGCCACCUGUGAAUGGCUCUAAUGGGGACGGUGGCGAUAAUCAAAAGGGUGUACAAAAUGGGGGUCAAGUCGAAGAAGUAGAGGAUGAUGAUGAUGAUGAUGAUGACCUUGAACAAGGACUUUACCAAAGGCGGGGACGUGAAAUCGAGGUCAGGAGGGAUUGCCCGUAUCUUGAUGCCGUGAAUCGCCAGGUUUUAGAUUUUGAUUUUGAGAAGUUCUGCUCUCUGUCCCUGUCAAAUUUGAAUGUGUAUGCAUGUUUGGUUUGUGGGAAGUAUUAUCAAGGCAGAGGGAAGAAGUCCCAUGCAUAUACUCAUAGCCUUGAAGCCGGACACCAUGUUUAUAUCAAUCUUCGAACGGAGAAAGUUUAUUGCCUUCCCGAUGGAUAUGAAAUAAGUGACCCAUCAUUGGAUGAUAUUCGGCAUGUCCUAAACCCAAGGUUUACUGAGGAACAAGUGGAGCAGAUUGACAAAAACAAGCAAUGGUCCAGGGCACUUGAUGGUUCCGAUUACCUUCCUGGAAUGGUGGGGCUCAAUAACAUUAAGGAGACUGAUUUCGUGAAUGUCACCAUACAAUCUUUAAUGAGAGUCACUCCUCUAAGAAAUUUUUUCCUUAUCCCUAAGAAUUAUCAACACUGCAAGUCUCCGCUUGUUCAUCGAUUUGGGGAGCUAACGAGAAAGAUAUGGCAUGCACGAAACUUCAAGGGACAGGUCAGCCCGCACGAGUUCCUACAGGCAGUUAUGAAAGCCAGUAAGAAAAGGUUUCGAAUUGGAGCACAGUCUGACCCAGUUGAAUUCAUGUCAUGGCUGCUUAAUAAGCUGCAUGGAGAUCUUAGAACUUCAAAGAAAAAUAGCAGCAUCAUAUUUGAGUGCUUUCAGGGGGAACUGGAGGUUGUGAAGGAGAUUCCUAAUAAAGGUAUUGAGAGAAUAGAAAAUGGUGAUGACCAGAAUACAGGUGCUGCUACUGAAAAUAAUGGUAUUGUUAAGGAAACUUACAAAAUGCCUUUCUUGAUGCUUGGAUUGGAUUUGCCCCCACCACCGCUUUUCAAAGAUGUGAUGGAGAAAAAUAUAAUACCCCAGGUCCCACUUUUCAACAUUCUGAAGAAAUUUGAUGGAGAGACUGUCACUGAAGUGGUCCGACCUCGCAUAUCAAGGAUGAGGUAUCGAGUCACCCGACUACCUCAGUAUCUUAUUCUCCACAUGCAACGUUUUACAAAGAACAAUUUCUUUGUGGAGAAGAAUCCAACUUUAGUGAACUUUCCUGUGAAGAAUCUCGAAUUGAAAGACUACAUCCCAUUGUCAACCACCAAUGAGAGUGAGAGGUUGCGCUCAAAGUAUGAUCUCAUUGCCAACAUUGUACAUGACGGUAAACCUGGUGAGGGUUCCUACAGGGUGUUUGUACAAAGGAAGUCCGAAGAACAAUGGUAUGAGAUGCAGGACCUUCACGUCUCCGAAACCCUUCCCCAAAUGGUUGCACUGUCCGAGACAUAUAUGCAGAUAUACGAGCAGCACCAGUAACAUGAGACGAUUGGAGGACUGAGGUGGCAGAUCGAAUUUGCAUGAAAUUCGGAAACAUUCGGAAUGAAUUUUACCAGAAUUUUGUGGACGUUUGAGAAUAUUUGCUGCUAAUAGUGGGGAGUAGGUUUUGAAAAUUGCUGCUGGGUGUUGAUGUUGUCACAAGUUUUAACUUGGACACGCCAGGUUUGACCCUUACUUGAAACGCCACUUGAAAUGGCCGCAGUAAACACGAUAUAUUAUGCAAAUAGCUGUUGAAUUAGCGUUGCUCCACAUUGUAAACACGAUGUAUUAUGCAAAUAGAUGUUGAAUGAAUAACGAUUUAAAUAGAA
This is an RNA transcript of Pyrus x bretschneideri (Chinese white pear), 2144 nucleotides long. It is a transcript of the gene named U4/U6.U5 tri-snRNP-associated protein 2, with no coding region annotated. The transcript has 11 exons. The record is from RefSeq and is a predicted model, not a curated record. Lineage: Eukaryota; Viridiplantae; Streptophyta; Magnoliopsida; Rosales; Rosaceae.